Molecule: microRNA, 19 nt
Filed under: Tribolium castaneum (red flour beetle)
Lineage: Eukaryota; Metazoa; Arthropoda; Insecta; Coleoptera; Tenebrionidae
Description: tca-miR-6012-5p
Source: miRBase by way of RNAcentral
CUGAUCUUGUUUCUGCGGA